RNAcentral lists this ribosomal RNA (1449 nucleotides) under Triticum aestivum (bread wheat). RNAcentral's name for it is "partial small subunit ribosomal RNA". Lineage: Eukaryota; Viridiplantae; Streptophyta; Magnoliopsida; Poales; Poaceae. The record is from RNAcentral.
AUGGCCAUGGACAUGGCGCACACGGACCACCUCGUGGCGGCCUACCACGGCCUCCUCGCCGCCGCGGGCCUCCUCCUCUGCGUCCUCGCCGAGGCCCUCCUCUUCGCGCUGCGGCGGAGCUUCACGCUCUACCUCGUCCCGGUCUCCGCGAUGCUGCUCCUCGGCCGCUACCGCCGCCGCGCCGCGGGGGGCGCGGUCGGGCUCGUCGACUUCUCCUGCCUCAAGCCGCCUCGCCGGCUGCGGCUCCCCUUGGACGCCCUGCUGGAGCACCUGGAGCUCGGCGGCUUCUUCGACCGCGGCAGCAUCGAGUUCAUGACCAAGGCCAUCCGCUCCAGCGGCAUGGGCAACGAGACCUACCUCCCGCCCGCGCUGCACUUCCUCCCGCCGGCGUCCACGCACGCCCACGCCAUCCGGGAGGCGCACAUGCUCUUCUUCCCCGCCCUCGACGACCUCUUUAGAAAGACCAGCGUGCCGCCGUCCGCCGUCGGCGCUGUCGUCGUCAACUGCAGCGGCUUCUGCCCGGCGCCCUCGCUCGCCGCCAUCAUCGCCGACCACUACCGGAUGCGCGCCGACGUCAAGAUCUUCAACCUCUCAGGCAUGGGCUGCAGCGCCGGCUCCAUCGGCGUCGACGUCGCGGCCGGCCUCCUACGGGCGCACGCCUUGACGUACGCCGUGGUGGUCAGCGCCGAGAUCCUCACGGUGGGAUGGUACUGCGGCAAGGACCACGGGAAGCUCCUCCUCAACUGCAACUUCCGCACCGGCUGCUCCGCCGCGCUCCUGACCAACAGCACGGCCGUGCCGGUGAAGUACCGGCUCGUCAACGUGACGCGCACGAACACCACGGCCAACGACCGGAGCUACCGCGCGGGGUACCGGGAGGAGGACGACGAGGGCAUCACCGGCUUCACGCUCGGCCAGGGCGUCGGCCGCAUGGUCAGCGAGCUGCUCCGCGCGCACCUCCUCACACUCAGCCUCUCCAUCCUGCCGUGGCGCGAGAAGGCACGCUUCGCUGCCGCGCUGCUCCUGUCGAUGCGCCAACGAGGGCAGGACAAGCUCGCCGGCAGCAGCUCCGGCGCCUCCGCGCCCAUGCCAAACUUCCGCGCGGCGUCGGACCACUUCUGCCUGCCUUCCUCGGGGAAGCCGAUGAUACUGCGGCUGGGGAAGGGGCUGGGGCUGGGGGAGAGGGAGAUGGAGGCGGCGUUGAUGACGUUCCACCGGUUCGGGAACCAGUCGGCGGCGUCGCUGUGGUACCAGAUGGCGUACCUGGAGGCCAAGGCGCGGGUCCGCAAGGGCGACACGGUGUGGCACCUCGGCAUCGGGAGCGGGCUCAAGGCCAACAGCCUCGUGUGGGAGCGUGUCGCAGUCGCCGACGACGUCGCCGCCGGCGGGCUCGACGCGCUGGGCCCGUGGAUGGAGUGCAUCCACCAGUACCCCCAGUGGGAGGAAUAA